Molecule: RNA transcript, 12174 nt
Organism: Triticum aestivum (bread wheat)
Lineage: Eukaryota; Viridiplantae; Streptophyta; Magnoliopsida; Poales; Poaceae
Gene name: putative ubiquitin-like-specific protease 1B
Exons: 8
Source: RefSeq, a predicted model, not a curated record
ACCCGGGUGCGUAAACUCACCUGAAUGAUUUCGCACCAUGGACUACGUCUUCCCUUCCGUAGGCGCCCUCCCCGCACCCAACUACAGGCACCAGCCCCUUCUAGGCCGGGAGAACCUUCGCUUCAGCCUCCCGGGCAACUCCAACCGCUACCUCCCCCUGCGCAGCAAGGAGGCGGCCGAGGACGGAGCACGUGCACGUCGCAGACGCCGCGACCACCAUGCCUCCUCCGACUCGACCUCGGCGACCGAUGCCGCCCACGCCUCGACCUCCGCGACCGACGCCUCUGCCGCCAGGCGACGCAGGCACCGACGGCCCCGGCCCCGACCCCGACGACCCGAACGUGAGGAGCGCCCCGUGGAGGUCGCUGAUCGAGCGUGGGGGGGAAGACGUCUCCUCGCCUUCGCCUUCCUCGUGGUCACCGGCGCCGUGUCCGCCGUCCUUCUUCUCGGUGGGCAUGAGCUCUCCAUCUGGACCUACACCGCCGCGCAGACAUCCUGCACCUGCUCCCCCGCCGCCGAAGCCAAGAACUAGGCGUAGGGAGGCAAAAGAAGAGGGGUUAUGGCCGAAGCGGGCAGGCGGCUGCGCAUCCACCUCUCGGACGACGCCAUUGAUGGCGGAGCCGCCGCGGGCCGGGAUGGCGGGCGCUUGUUCGUAGAAUAGCGAGGCGAGAAGAGGGGUCAGACGCGCGGCAUUUGCCGGAGCGGCGGCGGCAGUGGCGGUGCCACGCCCUUAAUCGAGUUCUUGUUCUUCCAAGAACGACUCCUGGUCGUCCGCGCCAGCCAACUCGCCGUGGCGGCGCCGUUCUUGGAUCGCGGCGCUUCCCUUUGUACAAUAGCAAGGCGAGAAGAGGGGUUAGCAGCGGGGUAUUGGCCGACACGGCGGAGCACGCUCUCAAUCGAGUUCUUGUUCGUCCAAGAACGACCCCAGGUCUUCCGACCGACCACCUCGGCGUGGCGGGGGCGUUUGGGGAGGCGGCGCGCGGCGCAGAUUAAGCGGCGGACCGGGAGGAGCCCGGCGAGGGUUAACACGUUCGGGGGAGCUCCGGGCAUGAGAGGGUGGAGGACGCGCUCCGGUCGUGUCGUGGAGCGGCAGACCUAGUUGUUGCGCGUGCCGGCGUCUGAUUCCUGCUCGCUCGCCAUUGCUCAUAAUUGGGAAACUUGGUGCAAAUCUCUAACAUCCUAAAUGUUAGCAAAACUUUCUCAUAUGGGUGUAUUUUGGUUCUUAAACUAUUAAACAAUACAAUAUAAUACAUUUUGAUUAUGUGAAUGAUUCAUCUAAUUUUCUUUUAUGAUUGGUUGUGGUACAUUCUCUUUAAUGAACUAUUCUAGUUGCGAUUUUGAUGUAUUUUUUUCUUAUAUCUUUCAAUUAUUUUGAUUUAAAUUGCAACUGAACAACUCCCACAAAAUAAAAAUGUCAUAUUAUUUAAAUCUAAUCAUAUAGUGAUUGAUUAUGCAUUUUAGUGGAAUCCAUCGCUAAUAAUAAAAAUAAGUUUUUACUUACACCACUAUUUGUUUAAAGGGGAGCGAUAGGCGCCGGCGCGCCGGCCCAAAUUUGGGCCGGUCGCAGCCCAGGCGUUGGAUGUGUGCAUGCACGGCCGUUAGAUCUGGGCUCCUCCUGUCGUCUUCUCUUCCAAAAACAAAUCUGAGCGAUGCCGGUGAAGAACACGAGCAGCGGCGCUGCUGGCACUCUCCAUGGAUGAGCGAACGAGUAACCUCGAAGCACCGUCACUUCGCCGCCGGUCGCCGUCCUCGCCGGUGGUCGGUGCCUCCCAAGCGUUUCUCGCCGACUUCACGCAUGCAACACCGAGCGCUUGCAGGUUGCAGUCACAAAGUGCCAUGGGUCGCAGCUCCGGUGGCGGCGGUCGCCGGCCGCAGCGCUCCAUGGACGAACUCGCAGUCUACCUCCCUCGGUUUCUGGUCGCAGCAAAACCGCCUGCCAGUUAUAGCAAACGCGAACAACGGUUGCAGCAAAAAAGCAGCUCCUAUCAUUGCCGCACGCCAUUGUCAGCUUACCGCUCUCUCGUUGAAGCUUUUUCAGAAGCGGGUUGAAGCUUUCUCAUAGUCGGUUGCAGCUUUUCUCUGAUUUUGUUCGCCGGUCACUGCCAAAAGAAGGGUGGUAACAAAUUAUGUCGCCGGUCGUAGCAAAAAAUGACCGCGGUUGCAGCAAAAAAUGUGGUCACCGCCGUCGCAUGUUUAGCAUCACCAUUAAUGAUGUAGCAAAUCUCGAUGAUGGUAGUAGCAAACAUUUACGACGGAUGCAGCAAAAACACGUCUCGCCAUAUAACCAAUGCAGCUCGCGCGCUACAGGUUGCAGCUCGCCUUGUUGCGGGUUGUAGCAAAUUGCAACAAUGAUGGUAGCACUUUCACAGAUAGAGGGAGAGGAGAGGGAGGGUCAAGCUGGAAACUGCCCCUCAUGGCAGCACCUAGGGGGGACGUAGCAGCAUCUGUGGGGGAUUGUAGCAAAUCGCGACUAUAGUUGUAGCAGUUUCAAAGGUAGAGAGAGAGAGAGAGGAGAUCAGGAGAGGGACGGCCAAGCUGGACCCCCCUUGUAGCAGCACCUAGGGUAGCCAUGGAGCUGUGCUCUAGCUGGGGAAGAAAAAGGGAAGGGACGAGUGGAGGAGAGAGCUACAGAGAAAAGAUAAGAGAAAUACAGUGCGUGGGCCAGAAAAAAGUAUGAGUGCGUUGUCUCCCUGGUCGUACGAUCCAGUUGGAUCGCGUGGCCCGCGCGCGUCCGGCGCAAUGGUUUGGCCGGCGCGCCGGGUGGAAAUGUUUCCCUUGUUUAAAUAGGGUAAAUUACUUUGUAUUAUUUUCCUUUUAUUCUGAAAAAGCUUCUGCAUGCAAGUUUGGUCGAUUAUGAUGUGUUUUUAUCAGUAUUAUAUUUUUUUACUGUUUACCUAUUAUAUGUGAUCUAAACGCUCUUAUAUUGGUUUACUGAGUGAGUCUUAUUUUAUCACUUUAUAUGAGAAGUAAAAAAACAUACCUGUCAUGUAGCUACCUUGUAUCAUGUAUCCAUACCCCCAAACGUGUCAGCAGGUUGCUGCUGGGUGCUUGUGCCCUUGAGUCGUCGAGUCCGACUUUUUUCAUUGAUAGCCGACCAGUGUCUAUUUGUGCCAAUGCAACAUGUGCAUGUUUUCCAUCACAGCCACGUUAAAUUAAAGGACUGUUGGGCUGACAGCAUUAUUAUUUUUGCAAUAAUAGAUUCCGGCCCGUUAUGUAGCAAAGGCCCAUCUGGCUGUCAAUCGUUGUGCGAUCAAUCGUUGAUUCGUUGGCUCCAGGAAGCCGGUAGGGAUAUGUUUAGAAUAAUACCACCUCGGAUAUAGAAAUAAUAUGAUCAAAGUGGACCGACGACGGACAAAAAACGGACAAAAUUACGGUGGUAAGAAGCGAUAGCCGCUUUAUUAUUAGGUAAAGAUAAAGAUAAAGAUAAAGAUAUGUUCACUUCUACUUCGGUACACCCUCCUUAAACACAUCAAAGGCUAAGAUCUGCCCAUACCCCUUCGCUGUCAGGUCUUAUGUAAAAAAUCUACCCCGCGUGUCCACGCCGAUACCCCCGCGCGCCUGUGUAUCAGGGGCUGCGGGACCAGCCGAGCCGCUUGGCAGCCGUGAGGACGCGAGCCGUGCCGAGCCGUUAGCAUCCAUGGGCCCACAAUGUCAGAUGCAGGGUGUGUUUGUUUUCAAAAGUGGGCGUUGACCGGUGGGGGUGUACGUGUGGUCGUGGCGCGGACGGCCGUAUCGUCGUGCAGUUAACUGCUUGCACUAAUUGCGGCGUGCAUGCAGGCGCCGACUGCUCGCGGCCGAUCUCCUACCGCCCGCCUUCUGCCCUCGUAGUCCGCGCCCUCCACUGUCGCGCGUGCGGCGACCGCCCGCCUUCUGCCUCGGGCCGGCUGUUGACGCGACCGCUCGGCUGCCGCCACUGCGGCGACCGGCCCGCCAAACGCCAUCGAUGCCUCGCCUUCCGCCCGCACGCCUUCACACACCAGCCCUGCCGCGCCUGCCGCCCUCGCGCCUUCACACGCCACCGCUGCCGCGCCUGCAGCCCGCCCGCCUUCCCACGCCACCGCUGCCGCGCGUGCCGCCCGCCUUUCUCGUGGCGCGCGCCACCGACGGCUCGCCCUGGCCACUCCCUCCACCCGCCGGCUAUAAAAGGCCGCCCCGCCCCUCUCUUCUCCACUCCACGCCACCGACACGCACCCGCCCCGCCCCUGUCUUCUCCAGUCCAUCUCAUCUCCACGCCACCGACACGCACCCCGACGAUGUCUUCGAGCGACUCCGACGAAGGCGCGUGGCCGGGCGGCGUCUGGCCGUUGAGCCUCACCAUCCGCGACACGGAGGACCUCGCCCGGUUCGGCCUGAUGGUGCCGCCGGUUUCGAAGGUGCCGGGGCCAUGGCGGAUCGGCGCAGACGGCGUCCCCACACGCGGCUCGCCACCGACGCCGGAGCAGCUCCACGCCUUCCCUGGCGCCCGGUACAACAGGAAGGCCCGCCGCCGCUUCUGGCGAGGCAAAAACUUCGAUGUCGUCCUCGGCGCGUUCAGGGACGCGGCGGCCGACCGCCCCGUCGGAGACAUUACCGGCGAGGUCGGCUGUUCUCGUCGCCGCCGCCGCCAGCUCCCACCCGCUCCCGGCCCUAGUACUCGGGCACAGCAGGCACCCCCUGCCCCGGCGCUGUCCCCGCUCCCGCCGGCGCAGGCCGCCCUCGCGCAAGACGGCGGCCCCGAUGACACCCCGGGGCUACUUGCGGUGCUGGCCCGGUCGGCAGCCGAGGCGGCGGCGGCGGCGCGCGAGGAGAGAGAGAUGCAGGCGGCCUUAGCGGCGGUGCGGGCGCAGGAGGCGCAGCAUGGCGGCAACUGGUGGGACGACGACUCCGGCGAUGACGGCGGCGAAGGAGGCGCUGGCGUUGUCGACCUCGCCGGCGCCAGCGACGACGAGUAGUUUAGUUUUAGGUUUAGAUUUAAAUUUCGUUCUAAGUUAUGUAAAAUAUCUUUAAGUAUGAAUGAAGUCGGAAUGGUUUAUCUGGAAAAAUAUAUCCUUAUGUUUAAUUUGAUAUUAGUCGUGCAACAAAGCUUCGAAAAAUAAACAAAAAUACAUGCAUUUGAGCAUUACGAGACGACAAGUGGUAAAAUAAAACUGAGACAAAACGGCCGGUUCGCUCAUAACAGAACGGCCUCCGGUAAACGAUGUGAAUUUUUCGAAUGACCUCAACGGUCUUCGGAAAAAUCAUGGAUAUUCAUAGAGUAGCAAAAAGCAAUGAAACUUUUCAUAGAUGCUAGUCAUUGAUUAAAAAGUCCUUUCGGAUGGGCCCUUCGCUACCCGUUGAAUGUAUUUGGAGACAAAAAACAAGUAGCGUCACGUCCGGAGAAUGCUUUAAUGUGUUUUCACCGCAAAAAUUGUAGAAAAUACAUAGUGGCAAAAAGCCACGAAAUUUUUCAUGCACACUAGUCAUGAUGAUACAACAGUCAGAAUUUUUUUUUGGGUUUAUUUGAGUUGGUAUGCCCACCCCCACACUCAAUCCAAGAAUUGAACGUAUUUGGACACUAAAAACAUGUUGCGUCACGUCUGGUCAGUGUUUUAGGUGUUUUCAUCAAAAAAUUGUAGAAAAUUCAUAAAGUGGCAAAAAGGUACGAAACUUGUCAUGCAUAGUAGUCAUGAUGGUAGAACACUAUAAAAGAAUUUGGAUUCAUUUGAAGGAUGUCGAAAAAAACUUAUUUUGGACGGGGCCUUCGCUCCUACCCGAACGGUCUCCGGAGAACGAGGUCAAUUUUUUGACAUAUUCGGAAUGACCUCAAAUUUUACAAGUGAGUUGUUAUGCCUACCCCCACACUCCUUCCAAGCAUUGAACGUAUUUGGACACCAGGAACAUGUUGCAUCACAUCCGAGGGGUGCUAUGUGCUGUUUUCACCGCAAAAUUGUAGAAAAUUCAUAAAGCGGCAAAAAGCCAAAAAACUUGUCAUGCAUCCUAGCCAUGUUGGUAGAACACUAGGAAAAAAAUUUGGGUUCAUUUGAAGGAUGUCGGAAAAAAACUUCUUUCGGACGGGGCCUUUGCUCCUACCCGAACGGCCUCCGGAGAACGAGGUCAAUUUUUUGCCAUCUUCAGAAUUGCUUGAAAUUUUGCAAGUGAGUUGGUAUGCCCAUCCCCACACUCAAUCCAAGAAUUGAACGUAUUUGGACACCAAAAACAUGUUGCGUCACGUCCGGUCAGUGUUUUAGGUGUUUUCAUCAAAAAAAAUUGUAGAAAAUUCAUAAAGUGGCAAAAAGUUAUGAAACUUGUCAUGCUUAGUAGUCAUGAUGGUAGAACACUAUGAAAAAAAUUUGGAUUCAUUUGAAGGAUGUCGAAAAAAAACUUCUUUCGGUCGGAGCCCGAACGGCCUCCGGAGAACGAGGUCAAUUUUCUGCCAUCUUUAGAAUGGCUUGAAAUUUUGCAAGUGAGUUGGUAUGCCCACCCCCACACUCAAUCCAAGAAUUGAACGUAUUUGGACACCAAAAACAUGUUGCUUAACGUCCCGUCAGUGUUUUAGGUGUUUUUACCGAAAAAAUUGUAGAAAAUUCAUAAAGUGGCAAAAAGGUACGAAACUUGUCAUGCAUCCUAGUCAUGAUGGUAGAACAUUAUGAACAAAAUUUGGGUUCCUUUGAAGGAUGUCAAAAAAUAAUGUAGAUAGUACUAAUGUAAUUUGACUGAGGUGAGACUAAAUUUGCAUAGUGUGGCAAAUGAUAAAAAACAAGACAAAUAGUAAUGAUGUGAUUUGAGUUUACACUGCAACUAGCAACUCUGACGCACUGCCCGGGCAGUGUAAUGAGCUUACACUGUCCGUGCAGUACGGCAGUGCCGCCCCUGGCAGUGCAAAGUCAAACCAAAUUAUUACUAACUGUCUCAUAUAGCAAUGUGCACGAACGCGGCUAUAUAAGCCGGUCGUGGCGUCCCUCGGCGCGUGAGGUGGGACUAAAGAAGCGCCCCUCCCACCUCCCCCCGCGUCGUGAUGCAUAGAAGGCAAAAAAAAUAGUGAUGCGAAAAAAAGCCCAACCGUGGUUGCAUGCCGCAACUGCGCGUAAUCGGUCCGGCCCGAUCAAGCCGGGCGGCGAAAGGGCCGGCCUUUCGGCCCAGCUACGGCUGGCAGCACAGUCAAACGGGGCAGUGGCGGGACGGGCGGGAAUCAGAGGAGUUCGAAAGGGAGGUGGGAGGCAGGUAUAUAAGGCGGUCGCGACGUCGUUCGGCGGGCGAGGUGGGACUAAACUUUAGUCCUGACCCCCGCCGACCCUGCCCCCGCACCGCGCGCACAGUCAAUGGGCCGGCCCACGCGCGCCGUCGCGCACAGUCACUGGGCCGGCCAACGCGCGCUGUCGAAGACUUUUUUUUGUUUAAAAAAUAGUAUUAAGUUUUUUUAGUUAUUUAUGCCUUUUGUUAUCGUUUAAUUUUUUUCUAUAAUUAAUAAAAAUCCAUACGUAAUAUAGAAUUGUUAACUUGAUUUAUUAUAAUAAUAAUGAGUUGUUUAUUAUAAUUUAUAGGUAAAAAUAAUGAGUUUUUGAUAAUUAAUUGCUAAAACAAUAUUUACAUCAGAAUUGUUAAUUAGAUUUUUAAUAUUUAUGUAAUGUUCAUUAUUUAAUUUUCUAUGUCUUAUUCAUGAAUGCAUAAAAAAAUUGCCAUAAUAAUAAUGAGUUUUUUGUUAUAAUUUAUAAGUAAGAAAAUUGAGUUUUUUGUUAUAAUUUAUAAGUAAAAAUAAUAAGUUUUUCUUUAAUGGCUAACAUUUUUGAGUUUAUUAAUAAAUAAUUUGGAAAACACCCUUAAUAAUUGUACAUAUAUGCAAAGUUUAGUACAGUAAUGUGCAAAGUUUAAAAAUAAGAUAUUCCAUAAUUAUAAAGAAACAAUAUUGAAUAUAGAAUAUUCCAUAAUUAUAAAGAAACAAUAUUUAAUAUGCAUUUUGUUAUCGUUUAGAAAAUAUUCCAUAAUUAUAAAGAAACAAUAUUGAAUAUUGAAUAUUAUUUGUUAAAAAGUGCACGGAGGGACAAAAUGAUAAAAAAUAAGAUAGCUAGUUAAUAAAGUGAUUUGACUUUACAUAGCUGCCCGGGCAGCAGCCGCCCGGGCAGGUAUGUAUGAUCAAAUCUCUUUAGUAUUAGCUAUUUUCUGUAACAAAGAGCAUGAACGCGGCUAUAUAAGCCGGUCGUGGUGUCCCUCGGCACGCGAGGUGGGACUAAAGAAGCGCCCCUCCCACCUCCCCUCGUGCCGUGACUCAUAGAAGGCAAAAAAAAUAGUGAUGCAAAAAAAAGCCCAACCGUGGUUGCAGGCCGCAACUGCGCGUAAUCGGUCUGGCCCGAUCAAGCAGGGCGGCGAAAGGGCCGGCCUUUUGGCCCAGCUACGGCCUGCAGCACAGUCAAACGGGGCAGUGGCGGGACGGGGCGGGAAUCAGAGGAGUUCGAAAGGGAGGUGGGAGGCAGGUAUAUAAGGCGGUCGCGGCGUCGUUCGGCGGGCGAGGUGGGACUAAACUUUAGUCCUGACCCCCGCCGACCCUGCUCCCGCACCGCACAGUCAAUGGGCCGGCCCACGCGCGCCGUCGCGCACAGUCACUGGGCUGGCCAACGCGCCCUGUCGAAGACUUUUUUUGUUUUUUGUUUUUUGUUUCAAAAUAAUAUUAAGUUUUUUUAGUUAUUUAUGCCUUUCGUUAUCGUUUAAUAAAUGUUCUAUAAUUAAUGAAAAGCCCUAUGUAUUGUACAAUUGUUAACAAGAUUUAUUAUAUUUAUGUAAUGUUCAUUAUUUAAUUUGUUAUGUGUUUUGCAUUAAUGGCUAAAGUUGUUUUCAUAAUAGUAAAGAGUUUUUUGUUAUAAUUUAUAAGUAAUAAUAAUUUGGAAAAGACCCUUCAUAAAAAACAAUACUUGAUAUAGAAUUUAUUAAGUAGUUAUAUUAAAAACAAUACUUAAUAUAGAAUUUAUUAUGUAAUUAUAUUAAAAACACUACUUAAUAUAGAAUUUAUUUAGUAUUUAAAUUAUAAGAAAUUCAUACGGUGUCGGAAAAUUAUGAAAACUUGCAUGCAUGAUGGCCCUGGUGAUGCUGGCGUGUGGAAACAUUUGGGGUCCACCGGCUGAGUCAGAAAAGGAAACGCAGUACGGAGCUGACCUCCUUCAUAUCCGAUCAAUGCCGGUUGCAUGGGUGGUACGAGGUGGCAUGCAUGAAACGUCACCCAAUUUUGGGGGCAGUGGGCAUGCCCAUCUUAGGGCCCCACGCAAGAUUUGAACGAAUUCGGACACCAAACGCAUGUUACAUCACACCCGGUUAGUGUUUUCGGUGCGUUUCACGGAAAAAACCAUAAGAAAUUCAUACGGUGUCUGAAAAUUAUGGAAACUUGCACGCAUGAUGGCCCUGGUGAUGCUGGCGUGUGGAAAAAGUUUGGGGUCCACCGGCUGAGUCAGAAAAGAAAACCCAGUACGGAGCUGACCUCCUUUAUAUCCGAUCAGUGCCGGUUGCAUGGGUGGUACGAGGUGGCAUGCAUGAAACGUCACCCAAUUUUAGGAGGUAGUGGGCAUGCCCAUCUUAGGGCCCCACGCAAGAUUUGAACGAAUUCGGACACCAAACGCACGUUGCGUCACGCCCGGUCAGUGUUUUCGGUGCGUUUCACGAAGAAAACCAUAAGAAAUUCAUACGGUGUCAGAAAAUUAUGAAAACUUGCAUGCAUGAUGGCCCUGGUGAUGAGUGCGUGUGCAAAAAAUUUGAAUGGUUGAAUUAGAUAAAAAACGCAUUAAUAUUUUCUAUCGUUAAAAAUAUAUUGGAGAUAAUGGCUCUCUUUUUGAAGAAUAUGCAUGAUCCAUGUGAACCUUCACAAGCUCUGAGCAGGUGAAGACUCACAUCGAUCCUGCAUAUCCUCCAAAUAGAGUCCCACAAACUCAGAUGUUUGUUCAUGGAGCAAAAGAAAAGUAUAUAAAGGAGUCAACGGCGCGCCGGCUUAGCGAUGUGGUAUUAAACUAGAACCGUUAAAGUACAAUGAAUGUUUUCAAUAAAUGCAUCAUGGGCCAGCCGACGGUAGUAUUACGGGACGGGCCAAGGGGCCCACUAUGGCGUGACCACGUCUAUGACGCCGUACGUGCGUGCAUGGGCAUGGAAACCACGCCGCCAUUACCUCGCCCCAGGACCGCCUAACCCCGUCGCCUCCAUGCACGACCUCACCCGAUCCGACGGUCGCACCGCCAUGGCCGUCCCAACUCCCUUCCUUGCCGCCCUCACGACGGCCAUACACUCCGGCAUCUACGCGUGCGACUUGGAUCUCGGCCCGGCCGGGCCGUCUCGGCAAAGUCGCCCGCACCCAGAACCCUAGGGCGGGCCGUCGGCCACCGCGGUGGUGUGGGCAGAGGGCGCGCGGCUGCCACGACUAACCCACACCGGGUGGGGUUAGCCAACGGAGGCCGCCGGUGCACCUCGUGGCGCCGGAAGGUAUGGUAUUAAACCAUAUGUAAUGUUUUUUGAAUCUCGUAACUAGUUAGAUAACUUUCAUCUUAUUUAGAAUGCAAGAAUUCGGAGAUGUGUACUGCUCGGUUGAGAAGUGGUGCGAAUUGGUGGGAAAAUUCACACCCAGACAGCGCAUGAUGCUACGUGGCACAAAUUUGGACAGUAUGUUGAGAAUUCCUUCAGUGAAAAUGAGGAAAAAUUUAUUGGAAUUUAUGAUUACAACGUAUGAUAGUAGUAGAAAGCGAUUUACGGCAUCAGUGUGCUUAAUGAAGAUGUUUAUGACAUAUUCGGGCUACGUAACGAGGGUGAUGAUGUCAAUAGCAUGAUAGCAACAGUACAACUAAACGCCAAAAAAUUGUUCCGAAUCGGUUUUUAGACAAAAGAACAGGCCUAAUCCUCAUCGAUGACUUGAUAAAAAAUAUUAUUGAUAGUCAGUCAUAUGAUGAUGAUUUUGUGAGAAGGGACGUACUGGUUCUUAUGGGUACAGUCUUAGCACCACAAUCCACCAAGUUUGUUCCUUAUCGUUAUUACAAAAUGGUGGAGGACAUGAACGCUAUCAAGUCAUACAAUUGGAACGAUUUCACGUUGGGGGUGUGCAUGGAUGCUAUUAAAAAACGGUCGAAGAUCUUGAAAAAUUCAAGUGGCCUAUUGGGAACUUGGCUCAUCUCCAGUAUAUAUACUGGGAAAAACUUGAGCCAAUUGGUGUGGAUACAUUUGAUCCUUUGUCUCGUGAAUACCCACUAAUGCUUAACUGGCCAGAAACGGAAGGGAAAAAGCGAGACGACUAUGACAACAUGCACGGGCGGGGUACCGGCAAUAGGCAGCCAAAGUUUUUGUUGAGACUCUUGCAUCGUCAAAGAAGCAUGCACACCGAACCGUGGUUGAUGUGCCGCCAUCAGAUGGGGACAUAUGCACGCCAGCUAUGCUUCACGAUGUCCUAAUGUUUAAAUGGUUGAAUGGCGCUAUCAUCAAUGCAUAUUCUAAACACCUACAACACCGUGAUUUUUCUGAUCGUUACAUAUCAACAACGUGGUUCCCCAAAUUUAAGUUGAAUAGGGCAAGGGGAAAGACCAAGUCAGUAAAUGAUAUAGACUCAGAGAAUCUUACAAAGAAAACAAAAGUCCUCACAAGAGUAAUGGAUGAGUAUUUCAGACGGGACAAGGCGUAUUUUCCUAUGUAUGUUAAUGAUAAUCAUUGGAUAACCAUAGUGAUGCACACCGUCAAGGAGGAGUUUCAAGUUCUUGACUCAAAUUCUAAAGGCGCAAUUAGCCAAAGAAUUCGCAAUAUGAUUGCCACCCUGAGAGCUGAAAUUUCUAAGGAUAUUAUGGAGGCCAACUCAACUCUUGAAGCAAAAAAAAUUCCAGAUGUCUCAUCGUGGCCAAUAAAUGAGUACAAAAUGCCGAGACAAAAAGAUGGAGUGUCUUGUGGAAUUUUUGUGAUGUGGUGCAUAAAAUACUGGGACGGAGAUCGCUGGACAUAUGAAUUUGACCAGGAAGAGAUUAAUGCGUCAAGGCCACGUAUUGUCGCGGAAAUUAUUUUUUCAGAGGUGAACAAAUUAGAGAAGGUCAAGAUGAAAAUUGUUAAAAUCAUGGAGAAGGAAUAGGUAUUAGCAUCGGUAGGGUUUUAGUCCCGUAGAAGGUUUCUCUGCCGUUGUUGGGUACUUUAUUCGAUUGUAAUGCGACAUGGCACUUUCAGUUUAUUUGUUUUCCUACUUUGUUAAAGGAUAUGAGACAUGGCACUUUCAAUUUA